GUGGAUUAGAUACCCUGGUAGUCCUAGCCGUAAACAAUGGGCACUAGGUGUUGUCGGUAUCGACCCCGGCAGUGCCGAAGCUAACGCAUUAAGUGCCCCGCCUGGGGAGUACGACCGCAAGGUUAAAACUCAAAGGAAUUGACGGGGGCCCGCACAAGCAGCGGAGCGUGCGGUUUAAUUCGAUGGUACGCGAAGAACCUUACCCAGACUUGACAUGCGAGUGGUAGGAAGCCGAAAGGUAACCGACCCGCAAGGGAGCUCGUACAGGUGUUGCAUGGCUGUCGCCAACU
Molecule: ribosomal RNA, 290 nt
Filed under: uncultured bacterium
Lineage: Bacteria
Description: partial 16S ribosomal RNA
Rfam family: Bacterial small subunit ribosomal RNA
Source: RNAcentral